GUCACUACAGUAUAAACUCAGUAUAGACCAGGUUAUGAGGUUGCUAGGUGUUGGGUUAAGGUCACUACAGUAUAAACUCAGUAUAGACCAGGUUAUGAGGUUGCUAGGUGUUGGGUUAAGGUCACUACAGUAUAAACUCAGUAUAGACCAGGUUAUGAGGUUGCUAGGUGUUGGGUUAAGGUCACUACAGUAUAAACUCAGUAUAGACCAGGUUAUGAAAUUGCUAGGUGUUGGGUUAAGGUCACUACAGUAUAAACUCAGUAUAGACCAGGUUAUGAGGUUGCUAGGUGUUGGGUUAAGGUCACUACAGUAUAAACUCAGUAUAGACCAGGUUAUGAGGUUGCUAGGUGUUGGGUUAAGGUCAGUAUCAACUAGGUUGUGGGGACUGUCUGGUAAUUAGUCAAAUCUUAUGUCAUUGGUGUAGAAAAAGUAAUAAUCAAUAUGCUGGAUGUAUUAUAAACAUUGUAUUGUGAAGACAUGUUUUAUUUAGUUAAUGUCAUUACACUAGACCAAAACCUGUCUAGCUGUCUGUUGAAUUACACUAGACCAAAACCUGUCUAGCUGUGUGUUGAAUUACACUGGACCUAAACCUGUCUAGCUGUGUGUUGAAUUACACUGGACCAAAACCUGUCUAGCUGUCUGUUGAAUUACACUGGACCUAAACCUGUCUAGCUGUCUGUUGAAUUACACUGGACCAAAACCUG
Molecule: long non-coding RNA, 704 nt
Filed under: Salmo salar (Atlantic salmon)
Lineage: Eukaryota; Metazoa; Chordata; Actinopteri; Salmoniformes; Salmonidae
Description: lncRNA (ENSSSAG00000104351.1)
Source: RNAcentral